Molecule: long non-coding RNA, 3499 nt
Organism: Equus caballus (horse)
Lineage: Eukaryota; Metazoa; Chordata; Mammalia; Perissodactyla; Equidae
Source: Ensembl
UUAUGACUUAUUUUUCAAGUACGCCUGCUGCGCGUCAGGGCCAGGUCCGCGUGGAUCUGCCUUUCCACGUGUUCUGCAUAGAACGUCACACCUGGAGAGGAGAUGACCAUGCACCACCAACGGGGAAAGGACUUCUUCCAUUGACCAUGCCUCCUCGGUCCCCUGGAGCGUGUGCUGAGUUAAGCUGAGGCCGUUUAUGUGUGUUUGCGUGACUAGGGCAUGGAUUGGAGGCAGUCUCCCUUCCCCAGAGGCAGCCCGUUGGAAAACAGGAGGGUCUGAGACUUCACGCUCUGCGACCCUCAGCCCUGACUCUCCUUUCAGAGGCUUUCUGUGGACCCCUUGAACAAAUACCUUUUGCCAAAGAGGAAGCCCCAGGCUGAAACAGAGAAGCACUGGGACCCUACAGCACUUGCUUUUCGUGGGGCAUUCUCAUCCCUUCUCUCUGCCUCUUCAGGGGCUGUCCACAGAGCCCCGCGCACAGGGGGCAGUGUUGGCAGAGCCCCUGACAUUGUCCCAAGUGCCACAGGCCUGUCUCCCAAGGGCCGGGGCGCCCCAGUGGCCCCCAGCACUCGGCCCUUCCCGUGCACCGAGAGGAAGCGCAGGAGCGGGGUGAGCGCUGAGCGGAGGAAGCGCGAGCCGGAGCCCGAGGAUGCGGGGCCCGCCUGGCUGUCUGCAGCAGAGUCUGCGUGUCCUCACAGGGCAGGGCCCGGGCGGCUGACUUGGCGUCCCAUCCCCUUCACAGUCCUGGCGGGCCUGGGGGCAAGCGGCUGCGAGGAGCGUGGGCUUUGCCAGGAGGGCUGGCGGUACAGGCCCGGGGUUGUAUUUGUCCCAGCGCCGCGCUGCUCCUCCAGGGACUGUGGCAGGGAUGCUGGCCAGAGCACCGCCUGCCCUGCGCUGAGGGGAACCAGACGGCAGCCCCGCCGCCGCGGCCCGCCCUGCCCAGCAGCAGCCAGAAGGCCGGUCCCUGGGGGGGAGGAAGGAAGACAGCGGAGAGAAUCAGACAAAGGAAGACCACCAUAAACCAGCAGCAUGUCUGUAAUCAGGAGGGCCCUUUGUUGAGAGCUGGUCUAAACAAGUUGUGAUCCCCUGGAAGGGGGCCAUAAACCGAAGCCAAAAUAAAGGUGUUUACAGCAAGGGAGACGGACGGGCUGCGGCCUCGUUUGGCCGCGAUGGGGGGGUACUGGUGGCCCUAAGGCCCCGCCUGCGCUCGGGGGACGCGUCCGAACAUCACAGAACAUCACAGACGCAAGCGCAGGGGAAGGGGGAGGCGCGGGAUGGGGGCGCCCAGGGACCCUCCCACAUUCCGGCCUGGGGGAGAGAGAGGGCAGGGUGCCAGGUCUGUGUGACAGCUGGAGAUUCAUGGCCAGAGGCCUGGAGAUCUUCGCCCAGCUUCUCCACUCCUCUACAAAGUCCUUUAUAAUGGACUCGAGGGAGUCACACUCCUAAGAGGGUUUGAGGGCAGUUGUUUCUUAAAGUAAUGCCUCUUAGGCCCAACUUAUCAGCCUGGAAAUGUGUGAGGAGGAAGUUUCACCCCAGGAUCCACCUUCGUCAGGGAAGCUUCGUGCCGUCUGUGAGCCAUGAGCAGAUGGGCAGCUGUUGGUGAAGGUGAGGCCUGAAAUGUCCCAAGGACCUCGUCCCUGAGCAGACCUUUCACCACUGCCUCUCCUCUGCUCUGUUUGCCAGUGUGGAACACAUGAACAUUUCACAGUCCUUCAUUCACUCAACAAACAUAAUGAGCAUUGACUCUAGGCCAGCCAGCCAGGUCAGAGGCUGCCCAGGUAUAGCACACGGUCCCAUCCUAGAGGAGGCAGCUGUAAACACAUAGGUACUCCUGUUCUUUAGAAGAGUAAUUCUUCCCAAGAAACCCAUGUCUGCUGGAAUGUGAUACUGCUGGAGAAUGGCAGUGCCAAGGAAGGCUAACAUGAUUCUUAGAAGGACAUGGUGCUGACGUCUCACUGUGUAAUCUGUUGUUUAUGCUCAGGAGGAAAGACUGCCAGACUUUUUUGAAAAAAGGGGUCACAUUCAUAUGGUAAUCAGAGGACAUGGAAGAUGCUUCAGGGCCUUUUUCCCUUUAAAAAAUUUGUUGUGACUCUUUAGUGGGCAAUGUUUGUCGAAGUGGCGCAACUGAGCUGGGUCCUCGCAAAUGCAGCUGAAAACGCCUCUCCCGACAGUCACAGACUCUCCCUCGACUCUUGGAUCAGCCUUGCCUGUGGAAGAGGCGAGCUUUGUUCUGUAACACCCAGUAUGCUCUCCUCAUGGGGAGAACAGGGAAGGAAAUUAGCCAGGAAGCCUGUCCAGUCCUUCAAACGCCUUUAUUUUCUAUAAUCUGUGAUCUCCUUAGGACUGUUUCCUAUCCGUAAGAUUGGCUAGUUUAUGAUCUCAGAGUUCCCUUCUAGCCAACAACAAAACAAAACAGGUAAGACUCUAAGUAACAAAGGGGCCUGAUUAAUUGUCCUGUAGGAAUCAUAUUAUAUCCACUUUGAGGAAGCAUUUCAGCUCCUCCGAGCAUUUGGUAAUAUACAACCAUCUAUGGGGUCUGGUGUAAGAGGCACCCGUCUCAAAGUCUCUGUCAGUGCUUGAUGCAAACUGCUCUGCUCUGCAAAGCUCAGUCACCUGGGAGAGAGGCCGGGGACCUCCUCUCCCUGAGUCGUGAGGUCCAAAGGGUGGAAGCAGGCUUCUUCCCUGACGGCAGUGAUCUGGCUGAUCUUGCUGCAGGUGGCCCCGUUGCUACUGUGAAGCAGAACGCUUGUCCUUCCUCCAUGAUGCUGAGUCACUGGCGUUCCUGUGAAAGGUGCGCAGGAGCCAGCACCAGACAGAGGCUCUCAGGUAGGGAGCGACCAGGGAGGAUGACACCAUCAAGAGAACCGGACAGAGGUCGGCUCACCCCACACAGGAGAUCCUAGGAGAAGCGAGUCCAUGGGGCUCAUGCACCCUCAGUCCUCAAAAACCAGUUCUUUGUGAGAGGAGAAAAUACAGUUCAGGAAGAGGGCGUGGGCUUCGAAAUCAGACAUUUGGUUUUGGAGCCCAUCUCCUCAGCUUAGUCACUGGACAAGUUAGCAUCUCUAAGCCUUUGUUGUCUCAUCUGUAAAAUAGGGAUAAUAAUAUCCCGCCUUCCCAGGGUCUUGUACAGGAUUACAUGAGAGGAUGUGGGUGAAGCUCCUGGCAUCGUGGCUUCCUGCCUUCCUUCUUUCCAGUGAAGCAAAGUUUACAAUCACUCCCCACAAAUUCUGAAAAAUGAAAAAUUGUGAGAACAGAAGUACCAAACACAGUAGAUGGGCUCUUCCUGUUUGUUUAGGAACCAUUUUGAAUUCCUUCCUCGAUGAUAAGCAAUUUCACUGCCCAUAGAUCCAGGGUGGAAUUGGUUUGAGGCUUUCAGGCCUUUCGUACAGUUCCUGCCACGUGCUUGGCACCGGAAUAGACAAGAGAGAUAUAAAGAUGACUGACAGCCCCCUAAGCAUAAGACGAUGAACACAGAAGCACAUAAUUUCAAAGGCACAAA